UAGGGAAUCUUCGGCAAUGGACGAAAGUCUGACCGAGCAACGCCGCGUGAGUGAAGAAGGUUUUCGGAUCGUAAAACUCUGUUGCCAAGGAAGAACGGUUGGGAGAGUAACUGCUCUUGAUUUGACGGUACUUGAGAAGAAAGCCCCGGCUAACUACGUGCCAGCAGCCGCGGUAAUACGUAGGGGGCAAGCGUUGUCCGGAAUUAUUGGGCGUAAAGCGCGCGCAGGCGGUUGUUUAAGUCUGGUGUAUAAACCAAGGGCUCAACCUUUGGACGCAUUGGAAACUGGGCAACUGGAGUGUAGGAGAGGAAAGUGGAAUUCCACGUGUAGCGGUGAAAUGCGUAGAGAUGUGGAGGAACACCAGUGGCGAAGGCGACUUUCUGGCCUAUAACUGACGCUGAGGCGCGAAAGCGUGGGGAGCAAACA
This 426-nucleotide ribosomal RNA is filed under the name uncultured Paenibacillus sp. RNAcentral's name for it is "bacterial SSU rRNA". It matches the Rfam family "Bacterial small subunit ribosomal RNA", at positions 355 to 774 of the family's 1533-position model. Lineage: Bacteria; Bacillati; Bacillota; Bacilli; Caryophanales; Paenibacillaceae. The record is from RNAcentral.